CAGCCGUAAACUAUGCUCGCUAGGUGUCAGGCAUGGCGCGACCGUGUCUGGUGCUGCAGGGAAGCCGUGAAGCGAGCCACCUGGGAAGUACGGCCGCAAGGCUGAAACUUAAAGGAAUUGGCGGGGGAGCACAACAACGGGUGGAGCCUGCGGUUUAAUUGGACUCAACGCCGGACAACUCACCGGGAACGACAGCAAUAUGUAGGCCAGGCUGAAGACCUUGCCUGAAUCGCUGAGAGGAGGUGCAUGGCGUAGACGUCU
This 261-nucleotide ribosomal RNA is filed under the name uncultured archaeon. RNAcentral describes it as "partial 16S ribosomal RNA". It matches the Rfam family "Archaeal small subunit ribosomal RNA", at positions 748 to 1009 of the family's 1478-position model. The record is from RNAcentral.